GGCUGAUUUUGACAAUACAAUGCACAUAUAUCCGGUACUAGCUCCAUUAAGUCAUGCUAAAUUACUGAAAUCCUCAUAAUUCUAGCAUUUUAGUUAAAUUUUAGACGGUUUUCGUGUAAAACGAAAGUGGCCGCAUUCGUGUUCAUCCUUAAUAUUGAAAUGUAAGUUGUAUUUUAUGAUAAUACAUAACAUAUAUAAAGGUUGAG
Molecule: long non-coding RNA, 206 nt
Filed under: Mytilus galloprovincialis (Mediterranean mussel)
Lineage: Eukaryota; Metazoa; Mollusca; Bivalvia; Mytilida; Mytilidae
Source: RNAcentral